GACGAACGCUGGCGGCGUGCUUAACACAUGCAAGUCGAACGGAAAGGCCCUGCAUGCUGGGUACUCGAGUGGCGAACGGGUGAGUAACACGUGGGUGAUCUGUCCUGCACAUAGUGAUAAGCCUGGGCAACUGGGUCUAAUACGGGAUAGGAGCCACUCUUAGGGGGGUGGUUGGAAAGUUUUUUCGGUGUUGGGUGAGCACGUGGCCUAUCAGUUUGUUGGUGGGGUAAUGGCCUAACAAGGCGGCGUCGGGUAGCCGGACUGGGAGGGUGGUCGGCCACAGUGGGACUGAGACACGGCCCAGACUCCGACGGGAGGCAGCAGUGGGGGAGAUUGCACAAUGGGCGCGAGCCUGAUGCUGCGGGGCCGCGUGGGGGAGGACGGCCUUCGGGUUGGAAACGUCUUUCGCUAUGAAAGAAGCUUUUUGUGACGGUACCUAGAUAAGAAGCACCGGCUAACUACGUG
RNAcentral lists this ribosomal RNA (465 nucleotides) under uncultured bacterium. Its description in RNAcentral is "partial 16S ribosomal RNA". It matches the Rfam family "Bacterial small subunit ribosomal RNA", at positions 28 to 507 of the family's 1533-position model. The record is from RNAcentral.